CGGGCGUGCCUAACACAUGCAAGUCGAGCGCGAAAGGAGCAAUCCGAGUAGAGCGGCGCACGGGUGCGUAACACGUGGAUAAUCUGCCCUUGAAUUCGGGAUAACCUUCCGAAAGGUUGGCUAAUACCGGGUAAGCUCACGGUGACUUCGGUCGCUGUGGGAAAAGUAGACCUCUGUUUACAAGUUUACGUUUGAGGAUGAGUCCGCGGCCCAUCAGCUAGUUGGCGGGGUAAUGGCCCACCAAGGCUACGACGGGUAGCUGGUCUGAGAGGACGAUCAGCCACACUGGAACUGAGACACGGUCCAGACUCCUACGGGAGGCAGCAGUGGGGAAUUUUCCACAAUGGGCGAAAGCCUGAUGGAGCAACGCCGCGUGUGUGAUGAAGGUCUUCGGAUCGUAAAGCACUUUCGACCGGGACGAAAAACCUCUGGCUAACAUCCAGGGGCCUGACGGUACCGGGAGAAGAAGCACCGGCUAACUCUGUGCCAGCAGCCGCGGUAAUACAGAGGGUGCAAGCGUUGUUCGGAAUUAUUGGG
RNAcentral lists this ribosomal RNA (537 nucleotides) under uncultured bacterium. RNAcentral describes it as "bacterial SSU rRNA". It matches the Rfam family "Bacterial small subunit ribosomal RNA", at positions 40 to 558 of the family's 1533-position model. The record is from RNAcentral.